Molecule: ribosomal RNA, 424 nt
Filed under: uncultured prokaryote
Description: bacterial SSU rRNA
Rfam family: Bacterial small subunit ribosomal RNA
Source: RNAcentral
UGGGGAAUCUUGGACAAUGGGCGCAAGCCUGAUCCAGCCAUGCCGCGUGAAUGAUGAAGGCCUUAGGGUUGUAAAAUUCUUUCAGCGGGGCAGAUAACGACGGUACCACGCGAAUCAGCCCCGGCUAACUCUGUGCCAGCAGCCGCGGUAAUACAGAGGGGGCAAGCGUUGUCCGGACUUACUGGGCGUAAAGCGCACGCAGGUGGUAACGCAAGUGGGGUGUGAAAGCCGCCAGCUCAACUGGCGGAGGCCAUCCCAAACUGCGUCACUUGAGGCCUGUAGAGGUAUGUGGAAUUGCCGGUGUAGUGGUGAAAUGCGUAGAGAUCGGCAGGAACACCCAGGGGGAAACCAGCAUACUGGACAGGUCCUGACACUCAGGUGCGACAGCGUGGGGAGCGAACCGGAUUAGAUACCCCGGUAGUCC